AUUGAACGCUGGCGGCGGGCUUAACACAUGCAAGUCGAACGAGUGGCGGACGGGUGAGUAAUGCAUGGGAAACUGCCGGAUGGAGGGGGAUAACUACCGGAAACGGCAGCUAAUACCGCAUACCAUCGGAGGUGCCCAGAUGGGAUUAGCUAGUAGGUGGGGUAACGGCGCACCGAGGCGACGAUCACUAGCUGGUCUGAGAGGAUGACCAGCCACACUGGAACUGAGACACGGUCCAGACUCCUACGGGAGGCAGCAGUGGGGAAUAUUGCACAAUGGGCGCAAGCCUGAUCCAGCCAUGCCGCGUGUAUGAAGAAGGCCUUCGGGUUGUAAAGUACUUUCAGCGAGGAGGCGUUACUCGCAGAAGAAGCACCGGCUAACUCCGUGCCAGCAGCCGCGGUAAUUC
This 406-nucleotide ribosomal RNA is filed under the name uncultured bacterium. Its description in RNAcentral is "partial 16S ribosomal RNA". It matches the Rfam family "Bacterial small subunit ribosomal RNA", at positions 29 to 526 of the family's 1533-position model. The record is from RNAcentral.